Molecule: ribosomal RNA, 481 nt
Filed under: uncultured bacterium
Lineage: Bacteria
Description: partial 16S ribosomal RNA
Rfam family: Bacterial small subunit ribosomal RNA
Source: RNAcentral
UUGAACGCUGGCGGCAUGCCUUACCCAUGCAAGUCGAACGGUAACAGGUCUUCGGAUGCUGACGAGUGGCGAACGGGUGAGUAAUACAUCGGAACGUGCCCGAUCGUGGGGGAUAACGGAGCGAAAGCUUUGCUAAUACCGCAUACGAUCUACGGAUGAAAGCAGGGGACCGCAAGGCCUUGCGCGGACGGAGCGGCCGAUGGCAGAUUAGGUAGUUGGUGGGAUAAAAGCUUACCAAGCCGACGAUCUGUAGCUGGUCUGAGAGGACGACCAGCCACACUGGGACUGAGACACGGCCCAGACUCCUACGGGAGGCAGCAGUGGGGAAUUUUGGACAAUGGGCGAAAGCCUGAUCCAGCCAUGCCGCGUGCAGGAUGAAGGCCUUCGGGUUGUAAACUGCUUUUGUACGGAACGAAAAGACUCUUUCUAAUAAAGAGGGUCCAUGACGGUACCGUAAGAAUAAGCACCGGCUAACUACGUG